AUGUUCCUACGGGACGCAGCAGUGGGGAAUAUUGCACAAUGGGGGAAACCCUGAUGCAGCAACGCCGCGUGAGUGAAGAAGUAUUUCGGUAUGUAAAGCUCUAUCAGCAGGGAAGAAGAUGACGGUACCUGACCAAGAAGCCCCGGCUAACUACGUGCCAGCAGCCACGGUAAUACGUAGGGGGCAAGCGUUAUCCGGAAUUACUGGGUGUAAAGGGAGCGUAGACGGUUAAGUAAGUCUGGAGUGAAAGGCCGGGGCCCAACCCCGGGACUGCUCUGGAAACUAUUGAACUUGAGUGCAGGAGG
RNAcentral lists this ribosomal RNA (305 nucleotides) under uncultured bacterium. RNAcentral's name for it is "bacterial SSU rRNA". It matches the Rfam family "Bacterial small subunit ribosomal RNA", at positions 333 to 655 of the family's 1533-position model. The record is from RNAcentral.